GAUGAAGAACGCAGCGAAAUGCGCUGCGUAAUGUGAAUUGCAGAAUUCAGUGAAUCAUCGAAUCUUUGAACGCACAUUGCGCCCGCCAGCACUCUGGCGGGCAUGCCUGUUCGAGCGUCAUUUCAACCAUCAAGCCCCAGGCUUGCGUUGGAGCCCUGCGGCUGCCGCAGCCUCCUAAAAGCAGUGGCGGGCUCGCUAUCACACCGAGUGCAGUAGAUUACUCUUCGCUCAGGGCGUGCAGCGGGUUCCGGCCGUGAAACCCCCUACUUUUAAAGGUUGACCUCGGAUCAGGUAGGAAUACCCGCUGAACUUAAGCAUAUCAAUAAGCGGAGGA
This 334-nucleotide unclassified non-coding RNA is filed under the name soil metagenome. Its description in RNAcentral is "partial contains 5.8S ribosomal RNA, internal transcribed spacer 2, and large subunit ribosomal RNA". The stretch from base 1 to 120 matches the Rfam family "5.8S ribosomal RNA", at positions 35 to 154 of the family's 154-position model. The record is from RNAcentral.